Molecule: ribosomal RNA, 253 nt
Filed under: uncultured bacterium
Lineage: Bacteria
Description: partial 16S ribosomal RNA
Rfam family: Bacterial small subunit ribosomal RNA
Source: RNAcentral
UACGUAGGGUGCGAGCGUUAAUCGGAAUUACUGGGCGUAAAGCGUGCGCAGGCGGUUUUGUAAGCCCGAUGUGAAAUCCCCGGGCUUAACCUGGGAAUGGCAUUUGGGACUGCAAGGCUUGAGUGCGGCAGAGGAGACUGGAAUUCCUGGUGUAGCAGUGAAAUGCGUAGACAUCAGGAGGAACACCGAUGGCGAAGGCAGGUCUCUGGGCCGUUACUGACGCUGAGGAGCGAAAGCGUGGGGAGCGAACAGG